Molecule: transfer RNA, 72 nt
Filed under: Ovis aries (sheep)
Lineage: Eukaryota; Metazoa; Chordata; Mammalia; Artiodactyla; Bovidae
Rfam family: tRNA
About the family: Transfer RNA (tRNA) molecules are approximately 80 nucleotides in length. Their secondary structure includes four short double-helical elements and three loops (D, anti-codon, and T loops). Further hydrogen bonds mediate the characteristic L-shaped molecular structure. tRNAs have two regions of fundamental functional importance: the anti-codon, which is responsible for specific mRNA codon recognition, and the 3' end, to which the tRNAs corresponding amino acid is attached (by aminoacyl-tRNA synthetases). tRNAs cope with the degeneracy of the genetic code in two manners: having more than one tRNA (with a specific anti-codon) for a particular amino acid; and 'wobble' base-pairing, i.e. permitting non-standard base-pairing at the 3rd anti-codon position.
Source: Rfam by way of RNAcentral
UUUAAGGUGGCUGUGUUGGUAAAGAAUCUGCCUGCAGUGCAGAAGACCCUGGUUUGAUUCCUGGGUCAAAAA